AGGCAAAUCAUGGGAAAUCAGUGC
This 24-nucleotide non-coding RNA is filed under the name Arabidopsis thaliana (thale cress). Lineage: Eukaryota; Viridiplantae; Streptophyta; Magnoliopsida; Brassicales; Brassicaceae. The record is from RNAcentral.